GGCCGACUAGCUCAGUUGGUUAGAGCGUGGUGCUAAUAAGACCCCCAUCCCCGGGGCACGCCAAGGUCGUCGGUUCGAUCCCGGCGUUGGCCA
This 93-nucleotide transfer RNA is filed under the name Trametes cinnabarina. RNAcentral describes it as "Pycnoporus cinnabarinus tRNA". It matches the Rfam family "tRNA". Rfam says of the family: Transfer RNA (tRNA) molecules are approximately 80 nucleotides in length. Their secondary structure includes four short double-helical elements and three loops (D, anti-codon, and T loops). Further hydrogen bonds mediate the characteristic L-shaped molecular structure. tRNAs have two regions of fundamental functional importance: the anti-codon, which is responsible for specific mRNA codon recognition, and the 3' end, to which the tRNAs corresponding amino acid is attached (by aminoacyl-tRNA synthetases). tRNAs cope with the degeneracy of the genetic code in two manners: having more than one tRNA (with a specific anti-codon) for a particular amino acid; and 'wobble' base-pairing, i.e. permitting non-standard base-pairing at the 3rd anti-codon position. Lineage: Eukaryota; Fungi; Basidiomycota; Agaricomycetes; Polyporales; Polyporaceae. The record is from Rfam by way of RNAcentral.